GAAAGCAAAGAAGAAAGGGACAAAUGACAAAUCUGACACAUUCUUUCUUUUACUUUCUUUUUUCGAGGAUUUCGACAGUAGUGGCAACUAUCUAUCUCUAGCUCUUCUCAAGAUGGGGGUGGGUAGCACAUGGGUGCCC
Molecule: non-coding RNA, 139 nt
Filed under: Platyophrya macrostoma
Lineage: Eukaryota; Ciliophora; Colpodea; Cyrtolophosidida; Platyophryidae
Source: RNAcentral